CUGACGUCGUCUGUGCCUAGUGGGGAGGCUAUAUUUUCACUGAUAAAGCUCGGGUUACCAAACUCCGAGGAUAUCUGAGGACAGUUACAGAUUUUUGGUGGCCUGUCCCCCAUGUAAAGGAGGGUACGUUGACUAAAUGUUGCUAGUCUGGCUAUGAUAUUUAAUGGCAGGUUCACAGGGUGUAACGGCAGGAUCGGACCGGCAGGAUCGGACCAAGAUGCGGCGUGUGCCUUGCGGUCGAAGGACGAGCAGUUUCCAUACCAGGCAGUGAUGCAACCAGGAUGCUCUCGAUGGUGCAGCUGUAGAACCUUUUGAGGAUCUGAUGACCCAUAUCAAAUAUUUUCAGUCUCCUGAGGUGGAAUAGGUUUUGUCGUGCCCUCUUCACGACUGUCUUGGUGUGCUUGGACCAUGUUAGUUCGUUGGUGAUGUGGACACCAAGGAACUUGAAGCUCUAAACUUCAGUGGAUUGAGUCACUGAUGUGAUCUUCCUGUCUGGGUUGGCGUCCCCCCUUGGGUUGUGCCGUGGUGGAGAUCUUUGUGGGCUAUACUCGGCCUUGUCUCAGGAUGGUAAGUUGGCGGUUGAAGAUAUCCCUCUAGUGGUGUGGGGGCUGUGCUUUGGCAAAGUGGGUGGAGUUAUAUCCUUCCUGUUUGGCCCUGUCCGGGGAUAUCAUCGGAUGGGGCCACAGUGUCUCCUGACCCCUCCUGUCUCAGCCUCCAGUAUUUAUGCUGCAGUAGUUUAUGUGUCGGGGGGCUAGGGUCAGUUUGUUAUAUCUGGGGUACUUCUCCUAUCUUAUCCGGUGUCCUGUGUGAAUUUAAGUAUGCUCUCUCUAAUUCUCUCUUUCUCUCUUUCUUUCUCUCUCUCGGAGGACCUGAGCCCUAGGACCAUGCCUCAGGACUACCUGGCAUGAUGACUCCUUACUGUCCCCAGUCAACCUGGCCGUGCUGCUGCUCCAGUAUCAACUGUUCUGCCUGCGGCAAUGGAAUCCUGACCUGUUCACCGGACAUGCUACCUGUCCCAGACCUGCUGUUUUCAACUCUCUAGAGACAGUAGAGUGGUAGAGAUUCUCUUAAUGAUCGGCUAUGAAAAGCAAACUGACAUUUACUCCUGAGAUGCUGACUUGCUGCACCCUCGACAACUACUGUGAUUAUUAUUAUUUGACCAUGCUGGUCAUUUAUGAACAUUUGAACAUCUUGGCCAUGUUCUGUUAUAAUCUCCAUCCGGCACAGGUAGAAGAGGACUGGCCACCCCUCAUAGCCUGGUUCCUCUCUAGGUUUCUUCCUAGGUUUUGGCCUUUCUAGGGAGUUUUUCCUAGCCACCGUGCUUCUACACCUGCAUUUCUUGCUGUUUGGGGUUUUAGGCUGGGUUUCUGUACAGCACUUUGAGAUAUCAGCUGAUGUACGAAGGGCUAUAGAAAUAAAUUUGAUUUGAUUUGAUUAAACCUGCUCCACUGCAGCCCAGUCAAUGAGAAUGGGGGCGUGCUCAGUGCUCUUUUUCCUGUAGUCCACUAUCAUCUCCUUUGUCUUGAUCACGUUGAGGGAGAUGUUGUUGUCCUGGCACCACACGGCCAGGUCUCUGACCUCCUCCCUAUUGGCUGUCUCGUCGUUGUCGGUGAUCAGACAACCACUGAUUUGUCAUCGGCAAACGUAAUGAUGGUGUUGCAGUCAUGCCUGGCCGUACAGUCAUGAGUGAACAGGGAGUACAAGAGGGGACUGAAUACGCACCCCUGAGGGGCCCCUGUGUUGAGGAUCACCGUGGCGGAUGUGUUGUUACCUAACCUUACCACCUGGGGGCGGCCCGUCAGUAAGUCCAGGAUCCAGUUUCAGAGGGAUGUGUUUAGUCCCAGGGUCCUUAGCUUAGCGAUGAGCUUUGAGGGCACUAUGGUGUUGAACGCUGAGCUGUAUGAAUAGCAUUCUCACAUAGGUGUUCCUUUUAUCCAGGUGGGAAAGGGCAGUGUGGAGUGCAAUAGAGAUUGCAUCAUCUGUGGAUCUGUUGGGGCGGUAUGCAAAUUGGAGUGGUUCUAGGGUUUCUGGGAUAAUGGUUUUGAUGUGAGCCAUGACCAGCCUUUCAAAACACUUCAUGGCUACAGACGUGAGUGCUACGGGGCGGUAGUCGUUUAGGCAGGUUACCUUAGUGUCCUCAUGGCCUUUCUCUUGCAUUUCAAAGAUUAUGGUAAAAAAAUAUAUAUAAAAAAAGUUGUUUUUUUAUCUUUGUAUUAUCUUUUACCAGAUCUAUUCUGUUAUAUUCUCUUACAUUCCUUUCACAUUUCCACAAACUUCAAAGUGUUUCCUUUCAAAUGGUACCAAGAAUAUGCGUAUCCUUGCUUCAGGGCCUGAGCUACAGGCAGUUAGAUUUGGAUAUGUCAUUUUAAGUGAUUUUUUUUAUUUUUAAAGAGUGUAUCCUUAAGAGUUUUU
Molecule: long non-coding RNA, 2412 nt
Organism: Oncorhynchus tshawytscha (Chinook salmon)
Lineage: Eukaryota; Metazoa; Chordata; Actinopteri; Salmoniformes; Salmonidae
Source: Ensembl